This 431-nucleotide small RNA is filed under the name Histoplasma capsulatum. RNAcentral's name for it is "hypothetical RNA". RNAcentral also lists the same sequence under 1 other name. Lineage: Eukaryota; Fungi; Ascomycota; Eurotiomycetes; Onygenales; Ajellomycetaceae. The record is from RNAcentral.
ACCACUGUUAAUCUAUACCACUGCCAAUCUAUCUAUCACUGCUAAUCUAUCACUGCUGCCAAUCUAUCUACUGCUGUCAAUCUAUCUAUCACUGUCAAUCUAUCUAUCACUGCUAAUCUAUUGCUGCUAAUCUAUUGCUGCUAAUCUAUUGCUGUUAAUCUAUCUAUCACUGCUAAUCUAUUGCUGUCAAUCUAUCUACCACUGUCAAUCUAUCUAUUACUGCUAAUCUAUCUACUGCUGUCAAUCUAUCUAUCACUGCUAAUCUAUCACUGCUAAUCUAUCACUGCUAAUCUAUUGCUGUUAAUCUAUCUAUCACUGCUAAUCUAUCACUGUCAAUCUAUCUAUCACUGUCAAUCUAUCUACCACUCUCAAUCUAUCUACUACUAUCAAUCUAUCUAUCACUGCUAAUCUAUCACUGCUAAUCUAUCACU